AUGCACGCUAGCUACAGGCUUAACACAUGCAAGUCGAGGGGAAACGACAUCGAAAGCUUGCUUUUGAUGGGCGUCGACCGGCGCACGGGUGAGUAACGCGUAUCCAACCUGCCCAUCACUUGGGAAUAACCUUGCGAAAGUAAGACUAAUACCCAAUGAUAUCCCACGAAGGCAUCGGAAUGGGAUUAAAGAUUUAUCGGUGAUGGAUGGGGAUGCGUCUGAUUAGCUUGUUGGCGGGGUAACGGCCCACCAAGGCAACGAUCAGUAGGGGUUCUGAGAGGAAGGUCCCCCACAUUGGAACUGAGACACGGUCCAAACUCCUACGGGAGGCAGCAGUGAGGAAUAUUGGUCAAUGGGCGAGAGCCUGAACCAGCCAAGUAGCGUGCAGGAAGACGGCCCUAUGGGUUGUAAACUGCUUUUAGAAGGGAAUAAAGUGGGUCACGUGUGACUUUUUGCAUGUACCUUAUGAAUAAGGACCGGCUAAUUCCGUG
RNAcentral lists this ribosomal RNA (491 nucleotides) under uncultured bacterium. RNAcentral describes it as "partial 16S ribosomal RNA". It matches the Rfam family "Bacterial small subunit ribosomal RNA", at positions 29 to 507 of the family's 1533-position model. The record is from RNAcentral.